ACUAGUUUGCAACAGAAAAGAAUUGAUAACUCAAGUUAGGAGAGAAAUAGGAGAGAGAAGCUUUUAGAAGAGGAGAAAAACAAGGAAAUUGGCAGGGGAAGAUUGCUAUGAAAGGCAGUUAACAAAGAAAUACUAAGAAUAUUUACCAUCUGGAAAUGCGAGCUCAAUUUGAGACAAGAAUAUUUUAUAUAAAUAUCAAAGGACGCCAGUAAAGACAGAAAAUGGCACAUGAGAAAAAUAAUCCAGAGGCACAUAACAGCAAAGUCAAGGGCAAGGCGUGAUGUUGUGGCACACGAAGGAUGCGAAGACUAGUUCCCGUAGCGAGGAUGUUUACAAUAAUAAUAGCAGUAGUUUUUACUUUUGCACUUAUCAUUGUAAUUUUAUGAAAAACUGAGUGGAAGUGUAAGAUCGGCCCCGGAUUGGUGGGGCGAGUUAUGUAACGUUAGACAUGUAUGCUAAGAUAGUGUGACGGCCUAGAUUCGGGAUAUACGGAUCUGGGGGCGUUACAAAUUUGGUAUCAGAGCUGUGUUAUAUUCUUAGGACACGGGAACCCGAGGAAUAUAACGAGAGAGUGUGACGAUAAUACAAGAGAUAAGAUAUAUGUAUAUGAUAGUUAUACAUCGACGAGAGCAUGCAAAGGUAUAUAAGA
Daucus carota subsp. sativus is the source of this 649-nucleotide long non-coding RNA. RefSeq lists it as uncharacterized. The record is from RefSeq and is a predicted model, not a curated record. The transcript has 3 exons. Lineage: Eukaryota; Viridiplantae; Streptophyta; Magnoliopsida; Apiales; Apiaceae.